GGGGAUGACGUCAAAUCAUCACGGCCCUUACGUCCUGGGCUACACACGUGCUACAAUGGCGCAUACAGAGUGCUGCGAACUCGCGAGAGUAAGCGAAUCACUUAAAGUGCGUCGUAGUCCGGAUUGGAGUCUGCAACUCGACUCCAUGAAGUUGGAAUCGCUAGUAAUCGCGUAUCAGCAAUGACGCGGUGAAUACGUUCCCGGACCUUGUACACACCGCCCGUCAAGCCAUGGAAGCUGGGGGUGCCUGAAGUCGGUAACCGCAAGGAGCUGCCUAGGGCAAAACUAGUAACUGGGGCUAAGUCGGAACAAGGUAGCCG
Molecule: ribosomal RNA, 320 nt
Filed under: Oxyrrhis marina
Lineage: Eukaryota; Dinophyceae; Oxyrrhinales; Oxyrrhinaceae
Description: partial Bacterial small subunit ribosomal RNA
Rfam family: Bacterial small subunit ribosomal RNA
Source: RNAcentral